ACCGAUUCCAUUAAAAAGGGUAGACUUCCCCUCCAAACAAUUCGUGCUAAAAUUGAUAAUUGCUGCUAUCCAAUUCUGACUAUCUAUGGAGUAUUAUGUGUAAAAAUUUGGAUAUUUGUAGACGAAGAAUAA
Molecule: ribosomal RNA, 132 nt
Filed under: Triticum aestivum (bread wheat)
Lineage: Eukaryota; Viridiplantae; Streptophyta; Magnoliopsida; Poales; Poaceae
Description: partial small subunit ribosomal RNA
Source: RNAcentral